This 450-nucleotide ribosomal RNA is filed under the name uncultured bacterium. Its description in RNAcentral is "bacterial SSU rRNA". It matches the Rfam family "Bacterial small subunit ribosomal RNA", at positions 287 to 770 of the family's 1533-position model. The record is from RNAcentral.
CUGGUCUGAAGGAUGAUCGCCACACUGGACUGAGACCGGCCCAGAUCCUACGGGGGCAGCAGUGGGAAUUUUGACAAUGGGGCAAGCCUGUCCAGCCAUCCGCGUGAGGAAGAAGGCUUCGGGUUGAAAGCUCUUCGGCCGGGAGAAAUCGCUCCUUUAACAGGGGAGUGGUGACGGUACGGAAUAAGAGCACCGGCUACUACGUGCAGCAGCCCGGGUAAUACGAGGGUGCAACGUUAAUCAAAUUACUGGCGUAAAGCGGCGCAGGCGUUUCGUAAGCAGACGUGAAUCCCCGGGUUAACCUGGAACUGCGUUGGGACUGCGGGCUGGAGUUGGCAAAGGAGGUGGAAUCCACAUGUACAGUGAAAUCGUAGAUAUUGGAGGAACCCCGAUGGCAAAGGCAGCUUCUUGGGCAACACUUGAGCUCAUGCCCGAAAGCCGGGGGGAGCA